CUCAAUAUCUGGCCAGAUAUGAUAUCCACUGCAUCCCUAGUUAUUUGUUAUGUUUCAUUGUCUUGAAAUGCCGAACGACUUUAUUGUUAAGGGGAGAGUGUUGGUAUGACUGUACAGUAUAUUCGUAUUCAACAUACUUAUUUAAUAUAUGCACCAUUUGUACCCUUUUAUAGUUAACCCUCAGAUGUGUAAUGGCUUCCCUUCCACAUGCACUGGGAGACUGACAGACCUACCAAAACAAGACAGGCAACCAAGGAGACCGGCAGACCCACCAAAACAAGACAGGCAAGCAUGUAAGUUUACUGAUAUUUUUCUUUGUGAUAUAAGUUAACACAUUGCGCCCUGAUGUGCCCUGCUUUAUUAUUUUACUCUGUCUAACGCCAGAUGAUUUACUCAUCAAGGGCAGAGCUCUGGUGCUUAAUGGAUUAACUGGCCUAUCUGCCCAUGUGUCUAGUUAAUCCAUUGAGUUGCAUUGCACCAAUGUGCCUUGCUUUAUUAUUUUACUCUGUCUACUGCCAGACAAUUUACUCGUCAAGGGGAGAGCUCUGGCAUUUAAUAGGUACAGUAACUUAACUGGCCUAUCUGGCCAUAUGUCUAAUAAUCUAGUUAAUCCAUUCAGUUGCAUUGUGCCAAUGCGCCCUGCUUUAAGUAUUAUUUUACUCUGUCAAACGAUUUAGUCGUAUGACAUGUGGACAGUGACUGACUGAAACAGUACAGGCUUGACUGCAGUCACUGACAAGAAGAAAAUUCAGAUCUCACAAUGUAUAUUAAUUUUACUGUAUAAACCAUAUAAUAUAAACCAUAUAAUUUCUAAACCAUUUAUAUAUUUCAUUUAUAUAUUUCUAAACCAUAUAUAUAUAUUUCUAAACCAUUUAUAAACCAUAUAAUUUCUUUUAUUAGUCCAUGCUGACAGCAAAUGCCUUAACUGAGGUGGAUAGGCCCAAGAAUUUUUCGAAAUUAACUAAGAAUGCAAGAAAAAGAUUCAAUGUGAACUGGAGAAGCAGGAGAACUGUUAAGAGAACACAAACAUGCAGUAUUUGUUUUAAUAUUUUAGUAAUGAUAUUAUAUGCAUUUCUUAAUUUUAAUCUUUGGUCUUGUCCCUGCAUGGUGUUACUGGUAACCCACCCCUGAUUUUUUAUUUCUGCAUGCUUUUAGUUGAGUAAUGCAUAUACAGGGUGUAUCAAAAAAUGUCCCAAAUGGAUAAUUUCCUCAAAAUCAUACAAAAUUUGGGAUAUUUUUU
Paramuricea clavata is the source of this 1240-nucleotide non-coding RNA. Lineage: Eukaryota; Metazoa; Cnidaria; Anthozoa; Malacalcyonacea; Plexauridae. The record is from the annotation of a GenBank genome assembly.